GAUGAACGCUGGCGGCGUGCCUAAUACAUGCAAGUCGAGCGAACAGACGAGGAACUUGCUCCUCUGACGUUAGCGGCGGACGGGUGAGUAACACGUGGAUAACCUACCUAUAAGACUGGGAUAACUUCGGGAAACCGGAGCUAAUACCGGAUAAUAUAUUGAACCGCAUGGUUCAAUAGUGAAAGACGGUUUUGCUGUCACUUAUAGAUGGAUCCGCGCCGCAUUAGCUAGUUGGUAAGGUAACGGCUUACCAAGGCGACGAUGCGUAGCCGACCUGAGAGGGUGGUCGGCCCCACUGGAACUGAGACACGGUCCAGACUCCUACGGGAGGCAGCAGUAGGGAAUCUUCAGCAAUGGGAGAAAGCCUGACGGAGCAACGCCGCGUGAGUGAUGAAGGUCUUCGGAUCUUAAACCUCUGUUAUUAGGGAAGAACAAAUGUGUAAGUAACUAUGCACGUCUUGACGGUACCUAAUCAGAAAGCCACGGCUAACUACGUG
RNAcentral lists this ribosomal RNA (497 nucleotides) under uncultured bacterium. Its description in RNAcentral is "partial 16S ribosomal RNA". It matches the Rfam family "Bacterial small subunit ribosomal RNA", at positions 28 to 507 of the family's 1533-position model. The record is from RNAcentral.